This 77-nucleotide transfer RNA is filed under the name Bdellovibrionales bacterium RBG_16_40_8. RNAcentral's name for it is "tRNA-Arg". It matches the Rfam family "tRNA". From Rfam's summary of the family: Transfer RNA (tRNA) molecules are approximately 80 nucleotides in length. Lineage: Bacteria; Pseudomonadati; Bdellovibrionota; Bdellovibrionia; Bdellovibrionales. The record is from RNAcentral.
GGUCCCGUAGCUCAGCUGGAUAGAGCAACUGCCUUCUAAGCAGUAGGUCGCACGUUCGAGUCGUGCCGGGAUCACCA